Molecule: long non-coding RNA, 182 nt
Organism: Cyprinus carpio (common carp)
Lineage: Eukaryota; Metazoa; Chordata; Actinopteri; Cypriniformes; Cyprinidae
Source: Ensembl
GCCUCGCGUCCUUUAUGAAUGGAAUAGCAUUAGCUUUGGAGUAAUGCUGACUGUGGUUUCUCUCUUUGAGGUUCGUGCCAGGUUUGGAAAACAGUUGUCGUAGCUGUUGUCAGACGUCAACGAGGGUUUAUGUCAGAGUUAGAGAACUGUUGUCGGAGCUGCUGCUAGACCCGUCCUGAGUG